GGUCAGGACGAACGCUGGCGGCGUGCUUAACACAUGCAAGUCGAGCGAUGAAGCUCUUCGGAAGUGGAUAGCGGCGGACGGGUGAGUAACACGUGGGUAACCUGCCUCAUAGAGGGGAAUAGCCUUCCGAAAGGAAGAUUAAUACCGCAUAAGAUUGUAAUAUCGCAUGAUAUAGCAAUUAAAGGAGUAAUCCGCUAUGAGAUGGACCCGCGUCGCAUUAGCUAGUUGGUGAGGUAACGGCUCACCAAGGCGACGAUGCGUAGCCGACCUGAGAGGGUGAUCGGCCACAUUGGGACUGAGACACGGCCCAGACUCCUACGGGAGGCAGCAGUGGGGAAUAUUGCACAAUGGGGGGAAACCCUGAUGCAGCAAAACCGCCGCGUGAGUGAUGACGGUCUUCGGAUUGUAAAGCUCUGUCUUCAGGGACGAUAAUGACGGUACCUGAGGAGGAAGCCACGGCUAACUACGUGCCAGCAGCAGC
RNAcentral lists this ribosomal RNA (481 nucleotides) under uncultured bacterium. Its description in RNAcentral is "bacterial SSU rRNA". It matches the Rfam family "Bacterial small subunit ribosomal RNA", at positions 22 to 518 of the family's 1533-position model. The record is from RNAcentral.